UACAGAGGUCUCAAGCGUUGUUCGGAUUCAUUGGGCGUAAAGGGUGCGUAGGCGGCGCGGUAAGUCGGAUGUGAAAUCUUGGAGCUUAACUCCGAAACUGCAUUCGAUACUGCCGUGCUUGAGGACUGGAGAGGAGACUGGAAUUUACGGUGUAGCGGUGAAAUGCGUAGAUAUCGGGAGGAACACCAGUGGCGAAGGCGACUUCCUGGCCUGUUCUUGACGCUGAGGCGCGAAAGCGUGGGGAGCGAACCGG
This 253-nucleotide ribosomal RNA is filed under the name uncultured bacterium. RNAcentral's name for it is "partial 16S ribosomal RNA". It matches the Rfam family "Bacterial small subunit ribosomal RNA", at positions 524 to 776 of the family's 1533-position model. The record is from RNAcentral.